RNAcentral lists this ribosomal RNA (2686 nucleotides) under Escherichia coli. Its description in RNAcentral is "partial 23S ribosomal RNA". It matches the Rfam family "Bacterial large subunit ribosomal RNA". The record is from RNAcentral. Lineage: Bacteria; Pseudomonadati; Pseudomonadota; Gammaproteobacteria; Enterobacterales; Enterobacteriaceae.
AGAUUCCCCCAGUAGCGGCGAGCGAACGGGGAGGAGCCCAGAGCCUGAAUCAGUGUGUGUGUUAGUGGAAGCGUCUGGAAAGGCGCGCGAUACAGGGUGACAGCCCCGUACACAAAAAUGCACAUAUUGUGAGCUCGAUGAGUAGGGCGGGACACGUGGUAUCCUGUCUGAAUAUGGGGGGACCAUCCUCCAAGGCUAAAUACUCCUGACUGACCGAUAGUGAACCAGUACCGUGAGGGAAAGGCGAAAAGAACCCCGGCGAGGGGAGUGAAAAAGAACCUGAAACCGUGUACGUACAAGCAGUGGGAGCCUCUUAAUGGGGUGACUGCGUACCUUUUGUAUAAUGGGUCAGCGACUUAUAUUCUGUAGCAAGGUUAACCGAAUAGGGGAGCCGAAGGGAAACCGAGUCUUAACUGGGCGUUAAGUUGCAGGGUAUAGACCCGAAACCCGGUGAUCUAGCCAUGGGCAGGUUGAAGGUUGGGUAACACUAACUGGAGGACCGAACCGACUAAUGUUGAAAAAUUAGCGGAUGACUUGUGGCUGGGGGUGAAAGGCCAAUCAAACCGGGAGAUAGCUGGUUCUCCCCGAAAGCUAUUUAGGUAGCGCCUCGUGAAUUCAUCUCCGGGGGUAGAGCACUGUUUCGGCAAGGGGGUCAUCCCGACUUACCAACCCGAUGCAAACUGCGAAUACCGGAGAAUGUUAUCACGGGAGACACACGGCGGGUGCUAACGUCCGUCGUGAAGAGGGAAACAACCCAGACCGCCAGCUAAGGUCCCAAAGUCAUGGUUAAGUGGGAAACGAUGUGGGAAGGCCCAGACAGCCAGGAUGUUGGCUUAGAAGCAGCCAUCAUUUAAAGAAAGCGUAAUAGCUCACUGGUCGAGUCGGCCUGCGCGGAAGAUGUAACGGGGCUAAACCAUGCACCGAAGCUGCGGCAGCGACACUAUGUGUUGUUGGGUAGGGGAGCGUUCUGUAAGCCUGUGAAGGUGGCCUGUGAGGGUUGCUGGAGGUAUCAGAAGUGCGAAUGCUGACAUAAGUAACGAUAAAGCGGGUGAAAAGCCCGCUCGCCGGAAGACCAAGGGUUCCUGUCCAACGUUAAUCGGGGCAGGGUGAGUCGACCCCUAAGGCGAGGCCGAAAGGCGUAGUCGAUGGGAAACAGGUUAAUAUUCCUGUACUUGGUGUUACUGCGAAGGGGGGACGGAGAAGGCUAUGUUGGCCGGGCGACGGUUGUCCCGGUUUAAGCGUGUAGGCUGGUUUUCCAGGCAAAUCCGGAAAAUCAAGGCUGAGGCGUGAUGACGAGGCACUACGGUGCUGAAGCGACAAAUGCCCUGCUUCCAGGAAAAGCCUCUAAGCAUCAGGUAACAUCAAAUCGUACCCCAAACCGACACAGGUGGUCAGGUAGAGAAUACCAAGGCGCUUGAGAGAACUCGGGUGAAGGAACUAGGCAAAAUGGUGCCGUAACUUCGGGAGAAGGCACGCUGAUAUGUAGGUGAAGCGACUUGCUCGUGGAGCUGAAAUCAGUCGAAGAUACCAGCUGGCUGCAACUGUUUAUUAAAAACACAGCACUGUGCAAACACGAAAGUGGACGUAUACGGUGUGACGCCUGCCCGGUGCCGGAAGGUUAAUUGAUGGGGUUAGCGGUAACGCGAAGCUCUUGAUCGAAGCCCCGGUAAACGGCGGCCGUAACUAUAACGGUCCUAAGGUAGCGAAAUUCCUUGUCGGGUAAGUUCCGACCUGCACGAAUGGCGUAAUGAUGGCCAGGCUGUCUCCACCCGAGACUCAGUGAAAUUGAACUCGCUGUGAAGAUGCAGUGUACCCGCGGCAAGACGGAAAGACCCCGUGAACCUUUACUAUAGCUUGACACUGAACAUUGAGCCUUGAUGUGUAGGAUAGGUGGGAGGCUUUGAAGUGUGGACGCCAGUCUGCAUGGAGCCGACCUUGAAAUACCACCCUUUAAUGUUUGAUGUUCUAACGUGGGCCCCUUACCGGGGUUGCGGACAGUGUCUGGUGGGUAGUUUGACUGGGGCGGUCUCCUCCUAAAGAGUAACGGAGGAGCACGAAGGUUGGCUAAUCCUGGUCGGACAUCAGGAGGUUAGUGCAAUGGCAUAAGCCAGCUUGACUGCGAGCGUGACGGCGCGAGCAGGUGCGAAAGCAGGUCAUAGUGAUCCGGUGGUUCUGAAUGGAAGGGCCAUCGCUCAACGGAUAAAAGGUACUCCGGGGAUAACAGGCUGAUACCGCCCAAGAGUUCAUAUCGACGGCGGUGUUUGGCACCUCGAUGUCGGCUCAUCACAUCCUGGGGCUGAAGUAGGUCCCAAGGGUAUGGCUGUUCGCCAUUUAAAGUGGUACGCGAGCUGGGUUUAGAACGUCGUGAGACAGUUCGGUCCCUAUCUGCCGUGGGCGCUGGAGAACUGAGGGGGGCUGCUCCUAGUACGAGAGGACCGGAGUGGACGCAUCACUGGUGUUCGGGUUGUCAUGCCAAUGGCACUGCCCGGUAGCUAAAUGCGGAAGAGAUAAGUGCUGAAAGCAUCUAAGCACGAAACUUGCCCCGAGAUGAGUUCUCCCUGACUCCUUGAGAGUCCUGAAGGAACGUUGAAGACGACGACGUUGAUAGGCCGGGUGUGUAAGCGCAGCGAUGCGUUGAGCUAACCGGUACUAAUGAACCGUGAGGCUUAACCUUACAACGCCGAAG